Long non-coding RNA from Aedes aegypti (yellow fever mosquito), 2399 nucleotides. RefSeq lists it as uncharacterized. Lineage: Eukaryota; Metazoa; Arthropoda; Insecta; Diptera; Culicidae. The transcript is spliced from 2 exons. The record is from RefSeq and is a predicted model, not a curated record.
ACUCAGGAACCUCAAAUCUACUAGAGCACGCUAGCCCGACCUUUUUGAACCGCGGGCCACAUUUUAACAUUAACAUUGCGCGGCGGGCACUCUACAAGUUACUUUUGAUGUUGACCAGCUAAUGAUCAAGAUGUAUUUUUUUAUACGUGAGUAGAAAAAUUCAAAUUUAUGUAGAAGAUUUUUUCAAGUUAGUAUAAUCAUUGAAGUAUUUGGAAACUGAUGAUUUUAACAAAUCCAGUAGAAAAUGGAAAUGAAAAUAGAUGAGCGAAAAUUAUCUAUAAACAGUCACCAACCAAGAGAGUAUGGUUAAUUUAUGAAAAUCUUAAUCUAUUAUUAUGAAAAUUAUAAACAAUCUCUUCAAAGUCUCUCUAAUCAUCAGCCUUAUUUACCUCUAAUGACGUAAAACAUCAAUCACACCGGCAGUCUUCUAGGAAGACUUACACCGUCUUCCUUUUUCCGUAAGCUUUUCUACUCAGAUUUCCACGUUGUUACACUUCUUUGUUUUACUUUGCCAUUUGCCCCUGAUUUAGUCGGAGAAAGAAUAUUCCCGCUCCGUCUCAGCUGGCUGCAAUGUGGCAUAUUAGCACAUUCCACCACUUUGUGGUGUAGGUACCGUAAGACGGGGUAUCUUUGAUAACGCGGAUAAAUUUGAUAGUUUGGGACCCGCAACAUAUAUCACGAAAAAAUCAUUUCUGUUGAUCAGUUAAAAAAUCAUUUCUGUUGAUCAGUUAAAUAAACCGAAUGCUAAAGCUAAGAAUUUUAAUAUGACACUUUAUGUCACAGCUACAUUCUUAGGAAACGAGUACAUUUCUUGCAUAACUUAUGAUCUCGCCUAAAUGCCAUUGGUAAUUUGGUUGUUCACAAAGUUAUCCCGAAACCGAUAAUCUGUUAUUGGUUAUAGGUAUAUUCAAAAAUAUUCGAUAUGCAUCCUUUCAACUGUAAUCGAUAACUAAGAUACCAGUACUUGUUUUUAAUUAAAAUCUGUAAGAUGGAAUGUAGAAACAGCAUUUUUUUCAAAAACUUCCACAGUUACCCCUCCUUACGGUACUUAGGUAAUACAAUCACCAUGCACUUUGGCGCUUAUAUUUCACUUGACUGUCUGCGAAUUUGUCUUCCCCAUAUGCUCCCUGGUGGCUGAGUAAACCACCAGAAGACGUACAUGUAUGUUUGCAAAAAUAAUAACCCAAGUAAGAAAGGUGAGUAUGUGGAUUCUCUAAGCCGAGUCAGGACGGAUCAAACCAAAACAAAGCAGUCGAGCAAAACAGACAACAACGAGAAAUGCAACGACAGCAUACCAUGAGUUGGAUGUUUCGGAAACGGCGGCGACCAAACCUGUUGCCGAAGAAGAGAUGAUGACUCACGUGGAUCAACAGUUGCUCAGGCUACUUUGAUUGCAUGUUAGUAUGUUCUGUGAUGUGAUAACCAUGUGUUAACGGGUGUCACGCCGCGCUUUUUUAGUUUCUUAAGAUUGAUGACUAAUGUUAAAGGUUUGAAAUUUUAGACGAUUAUGCGGGCUUCCUGUGAAUCGCCGAGUCGAUUCUACCAACUCGGUUGGAAGUAGUUCCAAACUGCAACUAACUCGAAGCAAAUCUUUUUCUGCUGCUUCUGAUUUAUUAAUUUAAUAUUCACGCCCGCCAAUAUGCGUAUUUGGUAUUGUAGAAAAAUAUGGCAACGGAAGCCUAGCACUUAUUUGUUCUGGCUUAUCGAUUCAAGCAAUUUGGAUGCUAGAGAUAAGCUUCUUGGAACAAAUGGUAAUAAAUUGCGGUGAGGUUUGGAGGAUUACCUAAGGUACUCUACACAGCAAAAAAUAUUGAAAUUUAAACGACUUGUAACUCAUGUUUGCUCUGAAAAUACAUUGAUUGUUUCAGUUCAAUAAUGUAAAAUGGAGUUAAAAUCAAUGCACAUAGUCGGAGCAUGAAAAAACACACAAUAUUACAUUUUUUUCCGCAAGAUAUUACGACACAAUGUGUUUUUAAAGCUUCCCGUAAAAAUAAAUCAAUAAAACUUACUUUUCCAAUAGAUAAAACUUUAAUUUUCAAUCAGCAUGUAAAAUUAAAGCAUUCAACAUUUGGUUGUCAAAACAAAUAUGGCUGACGUGCUGCUUCUCAGUUAGUUUAUCGCGACACACUCAAAGCUAUUUGCGAAUCUGUGGCUCUAUUGGCGGUUGGAAACCAUUUAACUUAUAGUGCAUAUUCCAAGUCAUCAUUUACGCUUGCAGAUACCGAUGUACACGAAUCUUUCGACACCGACGGCGUUCAUCUUACGCACUUUUAUCAGCAGCAGAUAGAUUAAGAACGAAAUGCAAUGUGCUGUCUUGAUUUCUUUGAUACGCUUUCCAGGAAAUCGUGUGUCGUGUAAUUAUGUGUAUGGAAACAAAAUGCAAUAAAAAUGUGCUAAAU